This 75-nucleotide transfer RNA is filed under the name Candidatus Omnitrophota bacterium. RNAcentral's name for it is "Candidatus Omnitrophica bacterium tRNA-Gln". It matches the Rfam family "tRNA". Rfam says of the family: Transfer RNA (tRNA) molecules are approximately 80 nucleotides in length. Their secondary structure includes four short double-helical elements and three loops (D, anti-codon, and T loops). Lineage: Bacteria; Pseudomonadati; Candidatus Omnitrophota. The record is from RNAcentral.
UGGGAUGUGGUGUAAUUGGUAACACGGAUGAUUCUGGUUCAUUUGUUCGGGGUUCGAGUCCCUGCAUCCCAGCCA